AUACGUAGGGUGCUAGCGUUAUCCGGAUUUACUGGGCGUAAAGGGUGCGUAGGUGGUCUUUCAAGUCGGUGGUUAAAGGCUACGGCUCAACCGUAUUAAGCCGCCGAAACUGGAAGACUUGAGUGCAGGAGAGGAAAGUGGAAUUCUCAGUGUAGCGGUGAAAUGCGUAGAUAUUGAGAAGAACACCAGUAGCGAAGGCGGCUUUCUGGACUUUAACUGACACUGAGGCACGAAAGCGUGGGUAGCAAACAGGAUUAGAUACCCUGGUAGUCCACGCCGUAAACGAUGAGUAUUAGGUGUCGGGGGUUACCCCCCUCGGUGCCGCAGUUAACGCAUUAAAUACUCCGCCUGGGGAGUACGCACGCAAGUGUGAAACUCAAAUGAAUUGACGGGG
This 394-nucleotide ribosomal RNA is filed under the name uncultured bacterium. Its description in RNAcentral is "partial 16S ribosomal RNA". It matches the Rfam family "Bacterial small subunit ribosomal RNA", at positions 523 to 918 of the family's 1533-position model. The record is from RNAcentral.